CUCGACACAGGAGGGCCACGGCGGUGAUGGAGGGAAGCGUCACAGGCCACACCUUUGACAUAUUCCGCCAGCCAGACCCGCAGGAAGGCCCAGACGUGUGUUUUGGCCGAUGGUGCAGCAGCCCUAGGGGAGGCAGGUCGCCCAGUUCUUUGAAGACCUUGAGGUGGUGCAGAUGGAGGACAGCCUGUGCAACACUGAGAUGGCAUACUCAUUAGCUCCCUGUGCUGGCUCCUUGUGGCUCCUGCUACCAUGCCCAUUUUCUUGCCCUUCUGCUUCCUCUGCAGUCAAGAUGUCUUUCUGUCUUUGUAAAUGGAGUUCACAAAGAAUCCUUCAAGGAGUAAGUACAUAGAUGCUAAGGCUCUGUUAGAUGUGCACAUUUCCAGACACGGAGGAAACAGUUUGACGGAUGCUGUCAAGAACUUCUUAAUGAUGCAGCUACAGUAGAAUAUAAGAAAUGCAACAUAAUAUUGCAGCAAAUUUCCCUUAAUUCUGGAGGCCGUCACUCCACCUAGUGGCAUUCCAUGGUUCAAGCAUGCUCACAGGUGUCCUGCUUGAGGUCUGUGUAAGAGGAUCCUAGAGCAGUGUGCUGAGUGCGAGGUGAUCAUUAGCAGGGGUUUGCAGUAAGCCACCAACACUAGUCUGGUUGAGUUGGUAACUUGUAUUAAGGUAUAAACCCACAAGAUCAGCAUGACUUGGAACUGUUAUCUUUGCUAUUGCAACUCUUCUUAUUAGAUAGAUAUGCUGAGGUUCCAUUAGUCCCCAUUCAUUCAUUUGAUGUCCACCCUACUCAAGCAUCCAUGGACUGUUGUGUCUUAUACAAAGAAGUUGUAUGAAAGGUUACAUCUGGAUUUAUUUUCCAACCAAAUGGAAGACUUACUCCCCCUGAAUACUGCUACACCAAUGGGUAGUCUUUCGACAAUAAUCACAUUGUCUAACAGCUUCUUUCCCAGUGCUCUACACGUCCUUGUUGAGGGUCAUGAGAUGUGGAAAUAGUAAUAAAAGAGCUAUUUGCAAACAAAAAUAUUUUUUCAGUAUUUUGUACAUGGUAUCGACUUAAUUAUUAUAGUUACAGUUCAAUCCUAGCCAUA
Molecule: long non-coding RNA, 1088 nt
Organism: Eriocheir sinensis (Chinese mitten crab)
Lineage: Eukaryota; Metazoa; Arthropoda; Malacostraca; Decapoda; Varunidae
Exons: 2
Source: RefSeq, a predicted model, not a curated record